This 231-nucleotide long non-coding RNA is filed under the name Prunus persica (peach). RNAcentral describes it as "long non-coding RNA (PPER_LNC006623)". Lineage: Eukaryota; Viridiplantae; Streptophyta; Magnoliopsida; Rosales; Rosaceae. The record is from RNAcentral.
AAAGAAAGUGUUUCUAAAACAAGAAUAAAAUAGUUUGCUCAGCAAGAGAAAAUAAACUCUCAUAUGCCAACAACCAUUAUUCUUCUAAACCUAUCACUCACUUGUUCGAGGAACCAAUUUGAGCAAGGAAUUACAGGAUUCAACAGUUUGCUCAGCAACCCAUCAACAAGUCAUUAAUUUGUUAAAAAGUUGAUGGGAUGCAAACCUGAAGAUAACGAUGCAAAAACUCGC